RNAcentral lists this ribosomal RNA (859 nucleotides) under uncultured Clostridia bacterium. Its description in RNAcentral is "bacterial SSU rRNA". It matches the Rfam family "Bacterial small subunit ribosomal RNA", at positions 28 to 896 of the family's 1533-position model. Lineage: Bacteria; Bacillati; Bacillota; Clostridia. The record is from RNAcentral.
GAUAAACGCUGGCGGCGUGCAUAACACAUGCAAGUCGAACGAUGAAACUUAGAUGAUUUCUUCGGAAUGAACUUAAGCGGAUUAGUGGCGAACGGGUGAGUAACACGUGAGUAACCUGCCUUACACAAGGGGAUAGCCUUUGGAAACGAAGAAUAAUACCCUAUAACGUCAAUUUAUCGCAUGAUAGAAUGACCAAAGAUUUAUCGGUGUAAGAUGGACUUGCGUCUGAUUAGCUAGUUGGUGAGAUAAAGGCCCACCAAGGCAACGAUCAGUAGCCGGCUUGAGAGAGUGUACGGCCACAUUGGGACUGAGACACGGCCCAAACUCCUACGGGAGGCAGCAGUGGGGAAUUUUGCACAAUGGGGGAAACCCUGAUGCAGCGACGCCGCGUGAUUUAGAAGGCCUUCGGGUUGUAAAAAUCUUUUUUAUGGGAUGAAAAUGACAGUACCAUAAGAAUAAGGUCCGGCUAAAUACGUGCCAGCAGCCGCGGUAAUACGUAUGGACCGAGCGUUGUCCGGAAUCAUUGGGCGUAAAGGGUACGUAGGCGGCCCAGUAAGUUAGAAGUGAAAUAAUAUAGCUCAACUAUAUAAAGCUUUUAAAACUGCUAGGCUUGAGAGAUGGAAGGGAAAGUGGAAUUCCUAGUGUAGCGGUGAAAUGCGCAGAUAUUAGGAAGAAUACCGGUGGCGAAGGCGACUUUCUGGUCAUCAUCUGACGCUGAGGUACGAAAGCGUGGGUAGCAAACAGGAUUAGAUACCCUGGUAGUCCACGCUGAAACGAUGAGUGUUAGGUUCUUGGAAUAAUCUGGGAGCCGCAGCUAACGCAUUAAACACUCCGCCUGGGGAGUACGCACGCAAGUGUA